GACGAACCGUGCGAACGUUAUUCGGAAUCACUGGGCUUAAAGCGCGUGUAGGCGGCCCGGCGCGUCGGAUGCUGAAAUCCCCCGGCUCAACCGGGGAAGGGGCGCCGAUACGGCCGGGCUGGAGGGGGUAGGGGGCGCUGGAACUCACGGUGGAGCGGUGAAAUGCGUUGAGAUCGUGAGGAACGCCCGCGGCGAAAGCGAGCGCCUGGACCCUUUCUGACGCUGAGACGCGAAAGCCAGGGGAGCGAACGGG
RNAcentral lists this ribosomal RNA (253 nucleotides) under uncultured bacterium. RNAcentral describes it as "partial 16S ribosomal RNA". It matches the Rfam family "Bacterial small subunit ribosomal RNA", at positions 524 to 776 of the family's 1533-position model. The record is from RNAcentral.